CCUACGGGUGGCAGCAGUGAGGAAUAUUGGUCAAUGGACGAGAGUCUGAACCAGCCAAGUAGCGUGAAGGAUGACUGCCUUCUGGGUUGUAAACUCCUUUUUUAAAGGAAUAAAACGAGGCACGUGUGCCUUUUUGCACGUACUUUAUGAAUAUGGAUCGACUAACUCCGGUCCAUCAGCCGCGGUAAUACGGCGGAUCGGAGCGUGAUCCGGAUGUAAUGGGUUGAAAGGGAGCAUAGAUGGGUUGUUAAGUUAGAUGGGAAAGUGUAGGGCUCAACCGUAGAGUUGAGAUUGAUACUGGCAGACUUGAGUGCAGUUGAGGUAGGCGGAAUUCGUGGUGAAGCGGUGAAAUGCUUAGAUAUCACGAAGAACCCCGAAUGCGAAGGCAGCUUACUAAACUGUGACUGACAUUGAGGCACGAAAGUGUGGGUAGCAAACAGGAUUAGAUACCCGAGUAGUC
Molecule: ribosomal RNA, 460 nt
Filed under: uncultured bacterium
Lineage: Bacteria
Description: partial 16S ribosomal RNA
Rfam family: Bacterial small subunit ribosomal RNA
Source: RNAcentral